AACGCGAAGAACCUUACCUGGGUUUGACAUGGGCGGAAAUCCUCCAGAGAUGGGGGGUCCUUCGGGGCCGUUCACAGGUGGUGCAUGGCUGUCGUCAGCUCGUGUCGUGAGAUGUUGGGUUAAGUCCCGCAACGAGCGCAACCCUUGUCCGAUGUUGCCAGCGCGUUAUGGCGGGGACUCAUCGGAGACUGCCGGGGUCAACUCGGAGGAAGGUGGGGAUGACGUCAAGUCAUCAUGCCCCUUAUGUCCAGGGCUUCACGCAUGCUACAAUGGCCGGUACAAAGGGCUGCGAUACCGUGAGGUGGAGCGAAUCCCAAAAAGCCGGUCUCAGUUCGGAUCGGGGUCUGCAACUCGACCCCGUGAAGUCGGAGUCGCUAGUAAUCGCAGAUCAGCAACGCUGCGGUGAAUACGUUCCCGGGCCUUGUACACACCGUAGUAC
Molecule: ribosomal RNA, 439 nt
Filed under: uncultured bacterium
Lineage: Bacteria
Description: bacterial SSU rRNA
Rfam family: Bacterial small subunit ribosomal RNA
Source: RNAcentral